This is a long non-coding RNA of Poecilia latipinna (sailfin molly), 341 nucleotides long. RefSeq lists it as uncharacterized. The transcript has 3 exons. The record is from RefSeq and is a predicted model, not a curated record. NCBI's taxonomy places the organism in Eukaryota, Metazoa, Chordata, Actinopteri, Cyprinodontiformes, Poeciliidae.
GCAGAUGACACUUUUCCCACCUCAUUUUUUUUUUUUUUUUUUUUUACAUAUUACAUUAAAUAACAAAGACAGGAAAGCAAAUCCUACCUGUGUGAUCCCUGGGAGGAGGAGGAUGGAGGUUCAGGUGGUGUUUCAUGAGACUUCCACAGGAGGAGGAGGUGAAGUGAUCAUUCUGUAGAAAGACAACCUGAGGGAAUGUGACUGACCACCGGCCACAGAUAAGUUUGUCGCUUUUCUCCCAAGAAUCAUAAAAUUUUUGAAUUAAAACUGCAAAAAGAACUCCACAUCUUCGCCUGCUGCUUUGGGUCCUUCAACCAAUCUACACAUCUUUCUCAAAACAG